RNAcentral lists this ribosomal RNA (253 nucleotides) under uncultured bacterium. RNAcentral's name for it is "partial 16S ribosomal RNA". It matches the Rfam family "Bacterial small subunit ribosomal RNA", at positions 524 to 776 of the family's 1533-position model. The record is from RNAcentral.
UACGUAGGGUGCGAGCGUUAAUCGGAAUUACUGGGCGUAAAGUGUGCGCAGGUGGCUUCGCAAGUCGGGUGUGAAAUCCCCGGGCUUAACCUGGGAAUUGCGCUCGAAACUACGGAGCUGGAGUAUGGCAGAGGGAGGUGGAAUUCCACGUGUAGCGGUGAAAUGCGUAGAGAUGUGGAGGAACACCAAUGGCGAAGGCAGCCUCCUGGGCCAAUACUGACACCCAUGCACGAAAGCGUGGGGAGCAAACAGG